This 228-nucleotide long non-coding RNA is filed under the name Mytilus galloprovincialis (Mediterranean mussel). Lineage: Eukaryota; Metazoa; Mollusca; Bivalvia; Mytilida; Mytilidae. The record is from RNAcentral.
AAUUGUGACAUGGUAAUUGAAAUGUUGGACUAAAGAAUCUGUAUUUCUUUAUCAUUACAGUGAGCAAUAAUGUCCACACUGGAAAUGAUUGAAAGCAUAGAAGAAUUAGAAAAAAAAAUCAUAAGGGUUCAGCAGAACCCUGUGUCUUGCAUGAAAUGUGUCUGCUGUUGUAAUUGUGUAUGUGUAAUCGCCAAUUGAUGUUGACUUGAAAAGUUGAUUCAUUUAUCA